UGGGGAAUAUUGCGCAAUGGGGGGAACCCUGACGCAGCCAUGCCGCGUGAAUGAAGAAGGCCUUAGGGUUGUAAAGUUCUUUCGGUAUUGAGGAAGGUUGAUGUGUUAAUAGCACAUCAAAUUGACGUUAAAUACAGAAGAAGCACCAGCUAACUCCGUGCCAGCAGCCGCGGUAAUACGGAGGGUGCGAGCGUUAAUCGGAAUAACUGGGCGUAAAGGGCACGCAGGCGGUUAUUUAAGUGAGGUGUGAAAGCCCCGGGCUUAACCUGGGAAUUGCAUUUCAGACUGGGUAACUAGAGUACUUUAGGGAGGGGUAGAAUUCCACGUGUAGCGGUGAAAUGCGUAGAGAUGUGGAGGAAUACCGAAGGCGAAGGCAGCCCCUUGGGAAUGUACUGACGCUCAUGUGCGAAAGCGUGGGGAGCAAACAGGAUUAGAUACCCUGGUAGUCCACGCUGUAAACGCUGUCGAUUUGGGGGUUGGGGUUUAACUCUGGCGCCCGUAGCUAACGUGAUAAAUCGACCGCCUGGGGAGUACGGCCGCAAGGUUA
This 547-nucleotide ribosomal RNA is filed under the name uncultured bacterium. RNAcentral's name for it is "bacterial SSU rRNA". It matches the Rfam family "Bacterial small subunit ribosomal RNA", at positions 355 to 896 of the family's 1533-position model. The record is from RNAcentral.